Long non-coding RNA from Anguilla anguilla (European eel), 1545 nucleotides. RefSeq lists it as uncharacterized. Lineage: Eukaryota; Metazoa; Chordata; Actinopteri; Anguilliformes; Anguillidae. The record is from RefSeq and is a predicted model, not a curated record. The transcript is spliced from 2 exons.
UGACGUUACUCCAAUGCCGGUAUUUUGAAUGUAGUGGAAAGUCGGCUAAAGUUUGGUCAGGUUUUAGAGCAAGUUAUGUUUGUUUGAAAACCAAAAAGGUGUUGUUUUUUCCCCUGGUGCCCUAGAUAUGUUUGGCCCUGGUUGAAGGAUACAAUUUAAAGGUUUAUUUGUUGAAUUAUGUGGAAUCGAUACUGCUGGGAAUGCAAUCGCCGAGUUCAUUUGGGGACGCCCAACAGAAAAUGGCGGUGUACGCUGCUUUAGUGUUUAUUUAGACUACUUUUGGUUAUGGCGACCGAAGGGCCUGAAAACCGGACCAAAUGGAGGAAGAAAGCAGGCGACGGGAUCAGAGUUGAUGGUUCCCUCCCCUUCUCCUUUUUUCCUCAUUUAUUUGCUCCCCCUCUUCAUUACUGUUUUCCGUUUUUCCCCCUCUCCUCUCCCCUCCCUCCCCUUAGCCAUCAUUCCUCCCCCAUUUCUUUCCCAUUCAUCCCAUUCUCCCCAUCCCCUUCCCUCCCUUCCUCUUGUACUGCAGUCCAGUGUUCUAGAAGGGUGAGUCAGGAGAUGGGCGGAGCUCAGAGGACCAGGGGGGGAGGAGUCUGCCGACCCGGUCAUGUCAUAAGGGGGGCGGGGCUGCGUGUGUCUGCUGCUCUCACAUCCUGGUGGCGUCUUCGUCUGAGAACCUUCCCCUCCGUAUUAAGAGCGGGGGUCUGGAGAGAGAUGGAGAAGAACUUCAAGAAAGGAGAGGGACACGGAGAGAUGGAUGGAGAGACGGAUUGUGAGGCGGAUGGAGAGGGGGACACACAUCAUACAAAAUCAAAGGUUUGGGCCAAUGGGGUGAUGGGGCAACCAGCACGUUGCCAUGGUAACUUUGCAUGUUAGUGCCGUACCUAAUCCAGUACAUUCCAGGGUGUUGGUAGUAGUCCAAAGAGCCCGAUCUCUGGAUGGCAAAGUCAUGUUCCAGCUGAGCAGAGAGAGAGAGAUGAAGGAGACUUUAAAACCAUGACAUUCACUGCUGAACAUGCUGAAAUGUUUGAUUGUUUCUGCUCCUCCUCAAACUAAAAAAAAUGUUGAGUGCACAUGUUUUAUGAAUGGUUCAACUCAAUUCCUUUGACGUACACACCUGUGUUAGCCCUAAGGCCUGAUAUAAGAUAUUUGUCUAUUUAUAACACCACAUCAUUUGGACAGCUCUGACUGAUACUGUGUGAAAUACGUAAGAACUUGUGACUUGGAAAGGAAUAUAAAAUCGUCAACAACUGAAUUCGUAUCCUGCUCUCACUUUCAGAGUCACAGUGAGAUUUUUAGAUCACAAAAGAUCGGACAUCGUUAAGUCUGAGAGGGUGCUAGAUUUAUCGGCAGCUUGCAAAACGGUUUUGAUCUGAGUGGGUUUUUGAUCUUGGUGGGUUUUUAUAAUUUUAUUUAUCUGUGUGGGUUUGUGGAUCACACAUAAUAGGUCUACCGUUUCCAGCUCGGUAAGUACUGCACCACGCUUAUCUCCUGGGCAAGAAAGAAAAUAAAACCUGUCCAGUUAUCUUUAAAAAAAAAAAAAAA